RNAcentral lists this ribosomal RNA (577 nucleotides) under uncultured bacterium. RNAcentral describes it as "bacterial SSU rRNA". It matches the Rfam family "Bacterial small subunit ribosomal RNA", at positions 338 to 916 of the family's 1533-position model. The record is from RNAcentral.
CCUACGGGAGGCAGCAGUGAGGAAUAUUGGACAAUGGGCGCAAGCCUGAUCCAGCCAUGCCGCGUGCAGGAAGAAGCAUCUAUGGUGUGUAAACUGCUUUUGUACGGGAAGAAACACUCCUUCGUGAAGGAGCUUGACGGUACCGUAAGAAUAAGGAUCGGCUAACUCCGUGCCAGCAGCCGCGGUAAUACGGAGGAUCCAAGCGUUAUCCGGAAUCAUUGGGUUUAAAGGGUCCGUAGGCGGUUUAAUAAGUCAGUGGUGAAAUCUGGUCGCUUAACGAUCAAACGGCCAUUGAUACUGUUAGACUUGAAUUAUUUGGAAGUAACUAGAAUAUGUAGUGUAGCGGUGAAAUGCUUAGAUAUUACAUGGAAUACCAAUUGCGAAGGCAGGUUACUACAAAUGGAUUGACGCUGAUGGACGAAAGCGUGGGGAGCGAACAGGAUUAGAUACCCUGGUAGUCCACGCCGUAAACGAUGGAUACUAGCUGUUGGGAGUAAUCUCAGUGGCUAAGCGAAAGUGAUAAGUAUCCCACCUGGGGAGUACGAACGCAAGUUUGAAACUUCAAAGGAAUUGACGG